Molecule: long non-coding RNA, 1896 nt
Filed under: Cyanistes caeruleus (blue tit)
Lineage: Eukaryota; Metazoa; Chordata; Aves; Passeriformes; Paridae
Description: lncRNA (ENSCCEG00000001955.1)
Source: RNAcentral
GUGCCCUCAAGGCCAGACUCUAGCAUGGCAGGCAGAUUCCUCAGCCUAUUCAAAGUGGUCAGGGGGAAAAGGAAGAAGGACACUGGAGCUGCUCCAGCGCAACAGCCUGAAGAGCCGGAGCAGUUCCAGCCACUGCAGGAUGAUGCAGCCAUGGACCGGACCCAAGAGCAGGACCCCUCCCUUGGCCGCUUCCGCAGAACGCUGAAGAUGUUCCGGAAGUUUGUGCCCAUUCAGCGCAGAAAGAGCAGUACCACAGCAACUGAGAGCACAGCCAAGCCUGACUCUGGGCUGACCGAGCUCCAGGCAGAGCCUGAUGUCAGCCCAGAUUCAUCUGAGCUCUCAGAAAAGUUUGACACCGCAGUGACUGAAAACUGGGAAGAGGCUUUUCUCAUGUCAAUGACUGAGGAUGUGGCCAUCACAGACACUGUCAAUGAAGAGACUCAGGGCAUGACAAAGACUGAAACCAGCCCAGAUUUGGCUGAGUGCUCAGAAGACUUUGACAGUGCAAUGAAUGAUCACAGGGCAAAGGCUGACAUAGAAGUGAUUGAGGACGUGGCCACCACAAACGCCGACACUGGAGUGGCUCAGGACAUCGCAAAUACUGACACCAUGCCAACUCCCACAGUUAUUCAUGCUCCCUCUACAGAUUUCUUUGAGGAGAGAGGAUUUGCUUCUCAGCAGGUGCCAGUCAUGGUGAAAAACAUUCACCAGAGUCUCACGUCCCAUGUCACUGUGGGUGCCAGGCUGGCCACGAACAUUCUGAAGCUGGCUGAAAAACACCCUGUUGAUGUGGUGCUGACCCUCCUGCGCUGUGCCCCAUCAUGUGACAGAGCUGCUGCAAUGAUGUGGAGAACUAUCGCCUCGUCGGGACCAACAAUGAAGAAGGUGCUGGCAAUACUGCUCUGUGUGAUGGAGGAUUGGCCUCUGCACAGCAUGUGCACCUCCGAUGGGGACAACAAGACUGUUUUUUCCCUGGCUGCAACUCUGGUGCUCUGGGUGAUUAUCCAAGUGCCUGAGUGCCACGAGGCCAUGAUCCUUUAUUCCGCCCGCCUGUUUGUGGCUCUGCUGUUCCAUGUUGUCAUCACCACCCAGCAGAUGCCACCAGUGGAAGUUGACAUCUUCUGGAGAGCAUGCCAGGAGGAACACCGCCUUCCCAGCAACCCCAACAGGUUUGCAGUGCAGGCCAUGAAGGCUCUGCUCUGCUGUUUGCACUAUGAUAGUGAGUUGAUGGCUAUGGAGCGCAAGCGUGGCUGGGACACGCUGCUCUGUGCUGACACCCAGCACUAUGCCGUGGGUCUGUUGGCCAGGGAGAUGCACGGUGCCUCCCUAUCCUUAUGUUCUGGGAUUGCACUCCGCCUGCUCCGGCUGCUCAGCAGGGAGGAGCCAUGCUGGGAUCUGCCCUUCCUGCCAUUCCUUGUGGAGGUCCUGGAUUGCCUGGACUUGCGUGAACGUGGUGACAGCAUCCUGGAGAUCAUGUCAAUGCACCUGCAGAAUGAGUGCAGGCAGAGGCGUCGCCUGGCGCUCAGAGGCCUCAUGGUGCUCAGCAAGGAUCCCUCGAUGGUGAGGACAGGGCAGCAGCUGAAGCUGUGCUGGGGAAAGCAGCUCCUUGUGCUGGCUGGGCUGCAGGAGCUGAGGCAGCUGCUCCCAGCUCUCCUGCCUCACCUGCCUGAGUGCUUUGGGACAGCCCUUUGGCCUCUGGGCCCAGCGGCAGCAGAGUGGGGUUGCAGUGCCAGGGCCGUUCAUGGCUUCUCAUCACAGCCUUGUUUUCCACACAGGCCAUAAGAAUGUGCAGCCUGUCUCAAAGCCUUCUGGAGCUGCUGGGUGAUGCAGACAGAGAUGUGCUUGGCAUGACCCUCCAUGUGUUCACUAAUAUGCUCAAGAACAAAGACAUUCUGA